UGGGAUAAGCCCGGGAAACCGGGUCUAAUACCGGAUACGACUUCUCACCGCAUGGUGGGGGGUGGAAAGGUUUGUUCCGAUAGGGGAUGGGCUCGCGGCCUAUCAGCUUGUUGGUGGGGUGAUGGCCUACCAAGGCGAUGACGGGUAGCCGGCCUGAGAGGGCGACCGGCCACACUGGGACUGAGACACGGCCCAGACUCCUGCGGGAGGCAGCAGUGGGGAAUAUUGCGCAAUGGGCGGAAGCCUGACGCAGCGACGCCGCGUGGGGGAUGACGGCCUUCGGGUUGUAAACCUCUUUUACCACUCACGAAGGCUCCCAGUGUUCUGGGGGUUGAC
Molecule: ribosomal RNA, 336 nt
Filed under: uncultured bacterium
Lineage: Bacteria
Description: bacterial SSU rRNA
Rfam family: Bacterial small subunit ribosomal RNA
Source: RNAcentral